Molecule: ribosomal RNA, 503 nt
Filed under: Salmonella enterica subsp. enterica serovar Infantis
Lineage: Bacteria; Pseudomonadati; Pseudomonadota; Gammaproteobacteria; Enterobacterales; Enterobacteriaceae
Also listed under: 16 other names
Description: partial 23S ribosomal RNA
Rfam family: Bacterial large subunit ribosomal RNA
Source: RNAcentral
UGGGCGUUAAGUUGCAGGGUAUAGACCCGAAACCCGGUGAUCUAGCCAUGGGCAGGUUGAAGGUUGGGUAACACUAACUGGAGGACCGAACCGACUAAUGUUGAAAAAUUAGCGGAUGACCUGUGGCUGGGGGUGAAAGGCCAAUCAAACCGGGAGAUAGCUGGUUCUCCCCGAAAGCUAUUUAGGUAGCGCCUCGUGAAUUCAUCUCCGGGGGUAGAGCACUGUUUCGGCUAGGGGGCCAUCCCGGCUUACCAACCCGAUGCAAACUGCGAAUACCGGAGAAUGUUAUCACGGGAGACACACGGCGGGUGCUAACGUCCGUCGUGAAGAGGGAAACAACCCAGACCGCCAGCUAAGGUCCCAAAGUCAUGGUUAAGUGGGAAACGAUGUGGGAAGGCCCAGACAGCCAGGAUGUUGGCUUAGAAGCAGCCAUCAUUUAAAGAAAGCGUAAUAGCUCACUGGUCGAGUCGGCCUGCGCGGAAGAUGUAACGGGGCUAAACCAU